Rana temporaria (common frog) is the source of this 1532-nucleotide long non-coding RNA. RefSeq lists it as uncharacterized. The record is from RefSeq and is a predicted model, not a curated record. Lineage: Eukaryota; Metazoa; Chordata; Amphibia; Anura; Ranidae. The transcript is spliced from 3 exons.
GUACUGUAAUUUACUUUUUAUGGUAUUUCUUUUUACAUGGCGCUCCCUCAUUUAAAGUCCCACAAACUCCUCUCUUCUAUAUAACAAAUUUAGGGAUGGAGGCCGCCAUGUGUUCUACUUUUAUUAUAGUGUGUGUCAGGUCACAUCCAUUUACUAUAUAACAAAGAUUUGGGUGGAAGACACCCGCCAAGUGACCUGUCACACCUAAUACACUGCUAUUAAUUUUUGCCUAUUGUCCCCAUAAUGGCAUUUAGCAAUACUGCUACUUAUAAAUUUCCUAUGCAUUACCAGACUAAUUCCUAACCUUUGUUCAUUGUUUCUAUACCAAUGUUUAGCCCCAUUGCUAUUAGAUCCCUUCCCUACCUUUGAAUAUAUCCCUAUAUUAUUAAUCCCUAUUGCUACCAGACCAAUUCCCAACCUUUGUUUAUUGCUCCUAUACCAGUGUUUAGUAACACUGUUAUUAGAUCACUUUUUUAUUUUUGAACAAAUCCCUGCAUUUAUUAUUGUCCCAUGUAUUAUUUUUGGUCUACUACUGAAAAUAGACUAAUUUCCUCAUUUUUGUUUACUGCCCCUUUAUCAGUGUUCAGUAACACUGUUAUUAAACCCCCUCCUUUUUUCAAUAGACCCUUUAGCUACUACUUUUCCAUGUGUUAUAUUUGACUCAUUAUUGCUACCAGACCAAUUCCCAACUCCUUGUCUGGUGUGGUCUGGGUUUUUUGGGGGGGCCUGGGUGGUUUUUCUGGCUCCGGGGUUGCGAUGCGUGGCAGUCCGGCCCCUCCCCCCACCCUUUGGUGGGUGUUGGGGUCGGCCUCCUGCGCAUCGGCAUCAUGCUCUGAUGCUGUAUUAACAGCGUCACUGACAUCACCUUGAUGUUUAUUUCCAUCUUUGACCAUACUAGCUGGGCGGGGAACCCACUGAUGAUGGUUCACCAUACGCAGCUGGGAUUUCCCUCCCCGCCUUCCUUGUGCUAAAUGGUCAAUUAGGCAUGAUGUUGAUGGGGGCCCCACCUGGGAAUGGAGGUAUAUAGUAGCCUUGGAGUGGCUGGUGGUUCAUUUGCUUGACUCAACCACUAGGAACAACACAUCUGAUCCUGCACACAGGUCACCCUCCCUUGUUGGGAGCCUAGUCACCAAUUUAUGGUACACUAUGCACUUUACGUGCACACAUAACAUUUUGGAUCAGGCUGUGACCACCGUGUCUUACUCCGGGCACUGUUCCUCGUUCUCAUGGGUUCCCCGUUUCAACCCCGGGGGAGACAUCCUGCCCGAACCCCCCUUCUUUCCUUGGCAGAUACCGGACCGGGUCUUGUGGUGGCAUAUAUACUGUCCUAAAAACACUCCUGAUGAUUGGCUGAAAUGCCAGGAAACGCGUAGAGUGCCCCCAGAUGCCAACAAUCACCUGUUCAUAUUCCACAUACUUACCGAUUUUAUUACGUAUAUCUGCCAUGUCUUUGAUUUUAUUUCUGUAUUGCAUGCUAUGUAGCAGCAUAUCUAGAGUAAGCCUUGUGACUACCUAUUUAUUUAAUACAAAAU